CACCGCAGACUUACACUCCGCCGCCGCCUCCUGGGAAUCAGGUCUAUCCACCACCGCUUCCUCCUGGGUAUCAGGGUUACUUCAACGAAGGGUACCCUCCACAACGGCCACCCGGGCAGUACCCUCCCUACCAGCAAUACCAGUACAACGAUCAAGCUGGCUGUGACUCGGUCCUUAAAGGGUGUUUGGCUGCUCUCUGUUGCUGCUGUGUGUUGGAAGAGUGCUGCUUCUAAGCCUUUAUUGAGGCCUCUGAUGAUGUACAUGGGAUGUGGUACAUACUGCUGUUGCUAUUUACAAUUUAUUUUAUGUUGUUUGAUAUUCUCCUAAAACCCAGUCUUUGGUAUCCCUUGUCUAUGUAAUGGAACACAUUUCAUUAUGUUGCAUGAACUUUAUCAAUGAAAACUAUGACCAUAAUUCUUA
Molecule: long non-coding RNA, 420 nt
Organism: Telopea speciosissima
Lineage: Eukaryota; Viridiplantae; Streptophyta; Magnoliopsida; Proteales; Proteaceae
Exons: 2
Source: RefSeq, a predicted model, not a curated record